This 481-nucleotide ribosomal RNA is filed under the name uncultured bacterium. RNAcentral's name for it is "SSU rRNA". It matches the Rfam family "Bacterial small subunit ribosomal RNA", at positions 28 to 491 of the family's 1533-position model. The record is from RNAcentral.
GACGAACGCUGGCGGCGUGCCUAAUACAUGCAAGUAGAACGCUGAAGAAAGGAGCUUGCUUCUUUUGGAUGAGUUGCGAACGGGUGAGUAACGCGUAGGUAACCUGCCUUGUAGCGGGGGAUAACUAUUGGAAACGAUAGCUAAUACCGCAUAACAGCUUUUGACACAUGUUAGAAGCUUGAAAGAUGCAAUUGCAUCACUACGAGAUGGACCUGCGUUGUAUUAGCUAGUAGGUAGGGUAACGGCCUACCUAGGUGACGAUACAUAGCCGACCUGAGAGGGUGAUCGGCCACACUGGGACUGAGACACGGCCCAGACUCCUACGGGAGGCAGCAGUAGGGAAUUUUCGGCAAUGGGGGCAACCCUGACCGAGCAACGCCGCGUGAGUGAAGAAGGUUUUCGGAUCGUAAAGCUCUGUUGUAAGAGAAGUACGUGUGUGAGAGUGGUAAGUUCACACAGUGACGGUAACUUACCAGAAAGG